Molecule: long non-coding RNA, 3805 nt
Organism: Carya illinoinensis
Lineage: Eukaryota; Viridiplantae; Streptophyta; Magnoliopsida; Fagales; Juglandaceae
Exons: 4
Source: RefSeq, a predicted model, not a curated record
UUAAAAAAAAAAAAAUCAACAUGCGUUUCAUCGGUUCGAAUGCCGCCGCCCUCUCCAUUCCACGCACUCCCAAAUUCAUAACUAGCGCUCUGAAAGUUUCACCCUCCAAGGCAUUUCGUUUCAAUUAUUUUUGAAGAACAUUUUGAUUCCCUUAACGAUGGAGGCCGUGAAGACGACGAGGGGAGCGAGAGGUAGAAGAGGUGGAGACAGGAAGAAUUCGGUCCGAAGUCUAUCAGGAUUGGGCUUCAAUUCCCCGUGGGUCGGAUUGCUCGGUAUUUGAAGAAGGGUCGCUACGCUCAGAGGAUAGGCUCUGGUGCUUCAAUCUACCUCGCCGCGGUUCUUGAAUAUCUCCCUGCUGAGUGGUGGAAUGAAUGAAUAUAUUUGGUUAUGUGAGAGAAAUAAUAUACAAAGUAUAGUCCAUUCCCCUAUCAAUGGAUUGCAAGACAUAUAUAGCAAUCAAAUCUUAAAUGUAACAUAUCUUAAUUCUCAGAACCACAAGCACAUCCCAGAACCUUCAUGAAGAAGACAAAGAUAGUCCAGUUGCCAAGAAAAGAGAUCUCCAGUAGAGAGGGUGAAUUCCAUCAAAGAGAGGAAAAACACCAAGAGGUAGGAAAAUUAGUUUUGUUAAUGUUGUGUUGGGGACUUAGUUGAUUGGUUAAGUUUGUAAGCAUUGUAGUUAGAUGGGUCACUUGUAAAGUUGUGGUGACGUUACUUUAUGUGCUACACUUUACCAAACUGAUGAUGUUACAAUAAAUGACUAGAGUUUUUCACAAAUUCUCCGCUUUUGUGUUUUUUAUUUAUAUAGCAUUGCAUCUAUGAAAUAAAAACAACAGUGAACUUUCCAGCAGCAGCAAAGUAAAAAUUGUAAAUGAUAAAAAUAGACAUCACUAAAGAAUAUAACUUCAGAAGCAAAUUCAAAAAUGCCAAUAGUAAAAAUUGUAGUUCAAUUCUUCAUUAAAAGCUCGAAAUCCAAAACUGUAACAAGUAUGAGAAUACAUCAUCAAAACCUCGAAAUCCAAAACUAUACAAUGGAUGAACUGAUUUGAGAAUACAUCAUAAAAGAUUCAAAUCCUCAACUGAGCAAGAUCAAAUAUAUCAACUCGAGCAAACUCGAAAUCCAAAACUAUAAACAACAAGACUCCAAAUAAUCAACUGAGCAAGCUUGCAUUUUCUAAUGUUUGUGCACUGAGAAUUAGAGCCAAUUAUUUAUUAUGAGAAUAUGGCAUCCAUCUCUACUUGGUUUACAACUUCUUGUCCUCCUUCAACCUAAGAACAAGAGUAGUAGUUCUUUUCUGUUAGCAUACCUACAAAACUCAUAAAUCAUACUUUGCAUAAUUGCCAAAAUCUUUUUUUUUUUUUUAACAACAGGUGCCAAUAAAAAAAAAAAAAUUCUAAUGGCUUUACAGUUUUAAAAUGCCCAAACCCUCCUAGAGAAGCAAAAGCCCUGACAAAGGUAUAUCAUCCCACGUCUUCCGAACUGUAUUGUCUCUUCUAUGAAUGCUCUCCUUUAUCAAAUGAAGUAUAUUUGCCCAUAUGAAAAAUUCACAUCUCGCUUGUGCAACUUCUCCCUGCACAUAGUACGAACAUUUAAUUAACAUGGUAAAGUACACCUCCUAAACUAAAAAACAAUAUGCAUUUAUAGACAUUUAUAAACAAUUCUAAUGUUCUGUUUGAGAUAUGUACUGUAGGUAUAAACAUUUAUAAACAAUUCCCAACUGCAUGAAAUUGUCAAGAUUACUUUCACUAGGCCAUUGUAGGACGUUCUUUGAAAAUGAGUGAAGAUCUGUUUGUAAAUGAAAUUGAUGGCUAAUGAGAUAGUCAUUAUCAGCUGUACAAUGUACUAAUUAUAAGUGAAAUAUAAGAGUUUUCAUUAAAGGUUACCACGCUAGCAAUCUGUGUAUCACAGGAAAUUGUCUCCUGAGUUGUUGUUGUUACAGGCUUUCAAAAGUGCAAAAAUCAUAUUGAAUUGACUUUAAACCUCAAUAAGUUGUUGCGUAAUUUCAACCUCCCAAAUAAUAUCACAGCUCUACUCAAACGUAUAUGGUAUCUUCAAGUACAUCUUUAUAACAUCCUAAUAAAAUUCAGAACCCGGGCAACAAAGAAUAUCCUAAAUGCAUUUCCAUGGAAGGUCUAAGCUUUGUUGAUGUAAUAUUUUCUUAGAAGGCAAUGAGAGAGAACUGGACUAGCACUUCUAGCUAACAAACGGUAUAUAAGUUAGAAUUUUUCUAGUGGCCAAUAUCUUCAAUUAAUAGCAAAGUGAUAUCCUUUCAAUUCAUUCCAACAAGGUACUUUCCUUUGGCGUAAUAACUAUUUCAUGUUAAAACUUCUAGUCUCACAUCAAAAAAUUUAUUGAGCUUCUACUCAAUUAACUUGGACUCUUUAGAGUUCAAUAAUUGGUACAAGAGUCAAAACCGUAAAUUGAAUGACUUGAAAAUUCAUGAAAUACUUGGUCAAUUUACAUGCAUGAACUUCAUAGACUUGGUUACUUCAAAGAUUAUUAAAGAAAGCAGUAUACAAUUACAUAAUUUUCAUCAAUCUAUUAUCAUGAAGUCAGAAACUUUCUUCAUCGUAUACAGACAAGCUUAGUUUGAAAAAGACAUCAAACUUCAAAUGAGGAUAAAAAUAAGACAUCAGACUUCAGAAUGUAUGCCUAAACCCUAUGAAUCACAUAGAAAAAUAGAGAUGGAGUAAACCAUACAAUUUCGAGUUAAGAAUAAAUACCUCUACAGUGGCCAUAGAUCUCUUGAGCAGAAAUAAUACCCUAGAAUUGCAGGUCGCUGAUUUACAUUUUGGGGGAAAUGUAAAGGAAUGGAGGGGUUGCUAAGUAGAGGGAGGGUCGACGGUAACGGCGGUGCUGGGUAGAGGGAAGGUCGACGGCGACUGAAAUGCCAUUGUAGAGGAUGGGCGACGCGGUGGUUUGGGCGAGAGAAUGCCCGAUGUGAGGGUGGAGUAGAGGAUGUCAAAUUUUCAAAUGGGUGAGAGUUGAGAGAGAACGUGCAGUAGGGAUGAGGGAAAAGGAUAGUUCUACGGAGAAGCUACUGUAGCAGUGCACACAAUGCACUCAUACGUGGCUUCUCUCGGUAAAUGUUCUUUUUGUAAAAUAAAAACAAAAUGUCGUUUUGAUCUCGGUCCAUUUCUCUUUUUCUAUUUGAAAUUUCUCCAUUCGAAUUUGUCCUGCGAAAUACCUUCUCCCUCGCCUGCAUCGCGUCACCUUCCUUUGCCCAGAGUCACCCGACGACGCCGUCUCUCUAUUCAGCGCCACCCCCGAAGCUCAUUCGUCUACCCAGCGCCGCCCUUCCCCUUGAGUUCAUUCAACGCAAACCAGCCUCUCUUGGUACUUUCGCGGACACGGAGAAAGAAAUGGAGAUAAGAAUGGUCCUCUUGUCUCGCCCUCAACUCUCUUUCUCUAAUUCUAUGCCCUCGAUUUCUUUGCCUUUGCUUUACUUUAAUACCCUAAUCUCUCUUUAUCCAAAUUUCUUAUCUUCGUUGUCCGAUCCCCAGUUCUAAACUGCAAUUUCAGAUGGAUUUAGUUGAUCUAUUUUUCAAGCUAAUUGUAGGGAGACUUUUCGGCAUUAUGGCAGGGAUGAGGAUAAUUGAUGAUGUAGUUUCGCAUUGAUGAUCGUGAUUGGAAUUAGGGUCACUUUUUGUAUUUGGCACUGUCUCAUAUGAGAAUUCUAUAACUUGUCUUACUUUGAAACAUGAAAUAUGUACAUUAAAGAGUGCAGUGUAAAAGUGCAUGUUAUAACUCGGUGUAUUUUGUAAAUGUGCUUAAAUUUGCUUCUUGUAACUAGUAUAUUACUUCAAA